This 2151-nucleotide long non-coding RNA is filed under the name Mus musculus (house mouse). RNAcentral's name for it is "predicted gene, 26737". The record is from RNAcentral. Lineage: Eukaryota; Metazoa; Chordata; Mammalia; Rodentia; Muridae.
AUUCACCACCAGGUAGACAGCCUCCAUGAUAGGGCUGCGAAGUUCAGGACAAAAGGAAGGCUGGCUCCUCAGGGAAGGCGGUGUCAAGGUUGCCACUAUUGUGGCGAGAUCGGAGUGAAUUUGGAAGGGAUGCGAACGUCUAACCAAGGAAGAAGCAAGGGCUACAGAAGUGGGCUUCAGGGAAGACUUUUACAGAAGGGAACGGCGUCCCGGCUUGGAAGGCGGAAUGUUCGGGAGCGAAGAGGUGAAACAUCUCUAAAGUGACAGCGAGCCUGGACCGGAGGAAGCACCUCAGCGUUAGGAGCCUGGAGCGCACAUCAGAACCCAUGUCCUUGAAACAUGAAGUCAUUGAAGUACACAAAAGCCACAGUCUGUGGUUGUGCAGGGAAGAGAGGCACUUGGAUGCUCCUGCCUUCUAGCUUGCGGUUCCAGAAGGACCACACGUCAUUGCCUGCCACCACAGAUGCCAAUACGCCCAGAUUGGAAAUGACUCUAAGCUAUGACUUUCCACAGAGCCAGCAGUCUGAGAAGAAAGAAUUCACAUCCCAUCGAGCAGGCCAGAUGUAUCAGCACAUGUUUUUUAACCCAGCACUUGGGAGACCGAGGCAGGUCUCUGUGAGUUUGAGGCCAGGCUAUUCUACAUAGCAAGUUCCAGAACAGCCACGGCUCAAUAGUGAGACCUCCAGGUCAGGUGCCAGCCUUGUCUCUGAGGGGGGAAGGGUUGGCACACUCUUCCUCAUCCUCUCCCAAUGGGAGGAUGCAGCUGGGUUUGCAUACACCCAAGGGUCUGGGGUACAUCCCCUACUGCUCCUCCUUCACCUGGUCUAGGGGUUAACAGGCAAAUCAUUGGUGGUAUUCCUGUUGAGCUAUUUGCAAACUGCACCUGCAAAUGCCAUUCUAUAGUAGGAAGUAUAAAUGCCUCCUCAAAGAAUAUGAGAGUCCCUAUCUGUCCCUCUUGUCUCCUAUCAGAGGCACUCACACUGGAGCCUGAGUUGGGAAUUUUGAUGCCUGCCUGGGUUCUACGUAUGCACAAAAAUAUGAAGUGGAAACUUGAGGGUUCUUUGGAAAGUCCGUUGGAUGAUGUUUUCCUGGGACAAACAUGUGAAGGAGUGCUUUCCUGAAGUGGACACAGGUUGAAAGGCUAAGGCUGACUCGUGAAGGAACGUUUCACUGAAGCAGACAAGUGAAAGGAUGUUCUGCUAAGGCAAGCACGUGAAAGAACACAUGAUGAAGGAUUCUUUGCUCACAACACACAUGUGUUGGUCUGCCUUACAUUGCAUAAUGGAGUUCCAUUUGUCAAGACUCCUUAGAGAGAAACACACCAAAAACUUUCUAGCGAUGGGCUGCUUGGGCUUGCGUUGAUUGACAGAGUGAUGUCAGCUGAGACAGAUGCAUGUGCUGAGGCAAGACACACAUGUGGAGGCAAGACUGGAGGACACAUGAUGUUUGGAGGGAAUGCAAAAGGACUCUAUGGAUAGUGACAGGGUGGGGUGGGGUGGAGUGGGGUGGGGCUGAGUUAGGCUUGCUUAUAGAGCAAGCUCGGCAAUGCUUGUUAGUCUCGUGUCUUCACUGAUCUUUGCUUCACUGAGAGAGGCACAGCUGAGAACUUCUCCUGACGUUCCUGCUGGCCCUUGAGGCCUGGCUGUCUGGGCUAGGUAGUGACUCCACUGCCGAUUCGUGUUUACUAUCCCGGCUCUGUUGAACUGGACUGCUGGUGUAUCUGUGGAGUAUUUGCCAGUGACACAAGUUGCCGCUACUAACCUGUGAACUGAACUGCCGAUUUCCAGACACAGAUGAGAGUUGCUCCAAAGAACCUUUCUAGACAGGUCCACUUUCUUCCUCCACACCUCAUAUCCUUUCUUUUCCACUACCUCUGGUGGGUGGUGGGCUACAAGGGAGGUUAAAGUGUUUUAAAAGCAUCAUUAAAAAUAAAGUUUGGGGGGCUGGAGAGAUGGCUCAGCAGGUAAGAGCACCCGACUGCUCUUCUGAAGGUCCAGAGUUCAAAUCCCAGCAACCACAUGGUGGUUCACAACCAUCCGUAACAAGAUCUGACUCCCUCUUCUGGAGUGUCUGAAGACAGCUACAGUGUACUUACAUAUAAUAAAUAAUAAAUCCUUAAAAAAAUAAAUAAAGUUUGGAAAAAUUAAAGUU